UUUCACUCGAAGCCGGAAUACUAAACUAGUUACCGUCCACAGUGGAAUCAGCGACUGGGGUGAAGUCGUAACAAGGUAACCGUAGGAGAACCUGCGGUUGGAUCACCUCCUUUCUAGA
Molecule: ribosomal RNA, 118 nt
Filed under: Campylobacter jejuni
Lineage: Bacteria; Pseudomonadati; Campylobacterota; Epsilonproteobacteria; Campylobacterales; Campylobacteraceae
Description: partial 16S ribosomal RNA
Rfam family: Bacterial small subunit ribosomal RNA
Source: RNAcentral